RNAcentral lists this long non-coding RNA (363 nucleotides) under Pogona vitticeps (central bearded dragon). RNAcentral describes it as "lncRNA (ENSPVIG00000022763.1)". The record is from RNAcentral. Lineage: Eukaryota; Metazoa; Chordata; Lepidosauria; Squamata; Agamidae.
AUGUUUUUGAGGUACUUAACUUCAUUCCUUUUGUUCUUCCUUCUGUCUCUUUCUACAGUGCUCUCUGGAUCGAAUGCCAGGUAUAGUGCUGCAAACUUACUUAAAAUGCCAUCUCUCCAAUGUGUCUCCUUAGAAGUAGCUCCUACAGAGUUCAAUCAGAUUUGCUCACAGUCAACACCUAGAAACUCUUAACUGUGAAUGUGACCACAGUCUAAAUGGCUGGAGCUACAUUUAUACAGCACAGAACUGGAGCAUCCAAGUUGUCUCCUCCUGAAGUUUAUGCAAGCUUUUGUCUAUCAGGUUUUUAGCUGGGAGGCGAAAUAUAUGAUGCCAAUAAACAGGGCGAGAGGGGUUGGUGAGGCA